Molecule: ribosomal RNA, 449 nt
Filed under: uncultured bacterium
Lineage: Bacteria
Description: partial 16S ribosomal RNA
Rfam family: Bacterial small subunit ribosomal RNA
Source: RNAcentral
AACGAACGCUGGCGGCAUGCCUAACACAUGCAAGUCGAACGAGAUCUUCGGGUCUAGUGGCGCACGGGUGCGUAACGCGUGGGAAUCUGCCCUUUGGUUCGGAAUAACAGUUGGAAACGACUGCUAAUGCCGGAUGAUGACGAAAGUCCAAAGAUUUAUCGCCAGAGGAUGAGCCCGCGUAGGAUUAGCUAGUUGGUGUGGUAAAGGCGCACCAAGGCGACGAUCCUUAGCUGGUCUGAGAGGAUGAUCAGCCACACUGGGACUGAGACACGGCCCAGACUCCUACGGGAGGCAGCAGUGGGGAAUAUUGGACAAUGGGCGAAAGCCUGAUCCAGCAAUGCCGCGUGAGUGAUGAAGGCCUUAGGGUUGUAAAGCUCCUUUACCCGGGAUGAUAAUGACAGUACCGGGAGAAUAAGCUCCGGCUAACUCCGUGCCAGCAGCCGCCGCAG